AGCAGUGCCACGGGAAUACGGAGGGUGCAAGCGUUAAUCGGAAUUACUGGGCGUAAAGCGCACGCAGGCGGUCUGUCAAGUCAGAUGUGAAAUCCCCGGGCUUAACCUGGGAACUGCAUUUGAAACUGGCAGGCUAGAGUCUUGUAGAGGGGGGUAGAAUUCCAGGUGUAGCGGUGAAAUGCGUAGAGAUCUGGAGGAAUACCGGUGGCGAAGGCGGCCCCCUGGACAAAGACUGACGCUCAGGUGCGAAAGCGUGGGGAGCAAACAGGAUUAGAUACCCGGGUAGUCCCUGUCUCUUAUACA
This 303-nucleotide ribosomal RNA is filed under the name uncultured bacterium. Its description in RNAcentral is "partial 16S ribosomal RNA". It matches the Rfam family "Bacterial small subunit ribosomal RNA", at positions 507 to 808 of the family's 1533-position model. The record is from RNAcentral.